GUAGACAUUAGUUUACUUCAUUCCUGAGAAUUCCAAACCAAAUCCAUUAGAUAGCAAUCACAUUAUAAUUUCCUGAUGCAACUCACCAAUUUAGUUAAGUAAAUGCCAACCGACAUAGAGCUAACCUCUAUGUAUACAUAGGUAGCAAUCCGAUUCUUGCAUCAAUUCUCAUAACGUACACCCAACUAUAUAUGCAGAUCUAAACUCUUUUACAUGCUCAAAUGAUACAUGUCGGAGGAUCAUUUUAUGUUGUACUUGAGUACGCAAAUCUUCGCAUAAUUCUUUCAGCCCGGAAAGAGAUUAGUAUUUUUGGAGUCGCGUGAAACUCGCGGGACUACCGUUAGCUAGGUAAUCACCCAAGGUACGUACCGACACUGUGGUCCGACUCCUCCUCAGUAGGUGUUGAUCAGCCGGGUCAGAGUUGCGCUCCUUUCUUUUUGGAGCAGCGGUCUUGGAGGUUUAGGUAUAUGCAUGUGAGCUUUACUUUUUGGGUAUGACGAGGGCCUUGUCCCAUCGUGUGGUCUUGUAUAUAUACUCUUAGAGGCUUGCAGACUAUUCUCUAGUCGUAUGUCAGUUUGUUAGUUCAGUUGAUUUGUAUAAUAAUGUAUCGACUCUUCUUUUGAUGGCCUUAUCGGCUGCUGUCCAUAUUGUAUAUAGUUGUUGAUGGAAGUUCUGCUA
Long non-coding RNA from Lycium barbarum (goji berry), 678 nucleotides. RefSeq lists it as uncharacterized. The record is from RefSeq and is a predicted model, not a curated record. The transcript has 2 exons. Lineage: Eukaryota; Viridiplantae; Streptophyta; Magnoliopsida; Solanales; Solanaceae.